Molecule: ribosomal RNA, 929 nt
Filed under: Talaromyces pinophilus
Lineage: Eukaryota; Fungi; Ascomycota; Eurotiomycetes; Eurotiales; Trichocomaceae
Description: partial large subunit ribosomal RNA
Rfam family: Eukaryotic large subunit ribosomal RNA
Source: RNAcentral
UGGGGGAAAGAACCAACCGGGAUUGCCUCAGUAACGGCGAGUGAAGCGGCAAGAGCUCAAAUUUGAAAUCUGGCCCCUUUGGGGUCCGAGUUGUAAUUUGCAGAGGAUGCUUCGGGUGCGGUCCCCGUCUAAGUGCCCUGGAACGGGCCGUCAUAGAGGGUGAGAAUCCCGUCUGGGAUGGGCGGCCGCGCCCGUGUGAAGCUCCUUCGACGAGUCGAGUUGUUUGGGAAUGCAGCUCUAAGCGGGUGGUAAAUUUCAUCUAAAGCUAAAUACUGGCCGGAGACCGAUAGCGCACAAGUAGAGUGAUCGAAAGAUGAAAAGCACUUUGAAAAGAGAGUUAAACAGCACGUGAAAUUGUUGAAAGGGAAGCGUUGUCCACCAGACUCGCCCGGGGGGGUUCAGCCGGCACGUGUGCCGGUGUACUCCUCUCCGGGCGGGCCAGCAUCGGUUUGGGCGGCUGGUGAAAGGCCCCGGGAAUGUGCCACCCUUCGGGGUGCCUUAUAGCCCGGGGUGCCAUACAGCCAGCCUGGACCGAGGCCCGCGCUUCGGCGAGGAUGCUGGCGUAAUGGUGGUCAACGGCCCGUCUUGAAACACGGACCAAGGAGUCUAACAUCUAUGCGAGUGUUCGGGUGUCAAAACCCGUCCGCGCAGUGAAAAGCGAACGGAGGUGGGAGCCCCCUCGGGGCGCACCAUCGACCGAUCCUGAUGUCUUCGGAUGGAUUUGAGUAAGAGCAUAGCUGUUGGGACCCGAAAGAUGGUGAACUAUGCCUGAAUAGGGCGAAGCCAGAGGAAACUCUGGUGGAUGCUCGCAGCGGUUCUGACGUGCAAUCGAUCGUCAAUUUGGGUAUAGGGGCGAAAGACUAAUCGAACAUCUGGUAGCUGGGUCUGCGAAGGUUCGUAUAGGGAAACCAGCUACCGGAUGGUCCGAU